AUGUCAUCUCAUUUUUGGAGAUGGACAUGGACAGGGGCUGAAACUGCAGUACCAGCAGAUGGGGAGCUUAAGAAGGAAGCUAGUUCAUGGCACAGCACCCGUAAAGUCCCCAGAAUUGGAGGCACCAGAUUCUUCUGAAAGAAAAGGAGCAAUUCAGCACUUGUCAUGCAGAUAAGAGGUCAACACCCCAGGACGGAGUGAAAACCUAAGAUGGACUCAACGACUCUCUUACCGUCCAGCUCUCAAGUCCCUUCUCUUGUGAAAAUGGAAAAGUUGAACUACAGUUGAGAUAUUAUUCCCAGGUGUUCUUUGGAACACAGGGGAUUUCUCCAAAAGGCACAGAACAAAUUGCCUCCAAACAGCCAAGAUUCCAGCAGAAGCUGGAGUAGCAGACUACUUGGAUCUUCAAAGUACCUGGCCCUGAGUCAGUUAAGGAAGAUCUUUUCUUCUCUUUUGUACAAUCCUAUGAUGAGAGCUGCAAAGUGAACUGACUAAGAGCUUCUGCCUUGAUCAUUGACCUCCCAAUCCUAAUAAUAUGUUCACUGGCCAAACUUCCUAAUCGAUUUGUCUUUUGGAUAUAACGUUCCUCCUACUGUUUGCCUGAUUGAGAAAUCUGCUACAGAACAUGACCGGUUAGCAUUCCCACCAACCCCAGUGCUACACUGACUGUCUUUCGAUGGACUUUGCUCCUUGCUGCCUCUCUGAGGUCCCAGACCUUCAGAGUGACCUUCACAGCUCUGCCUAACUUUCUGUCAUACUUCUAUCAAGAGAGACAGCUAAAUCAAUAUUUUUAAUGUGCUUUGCUGUCGGAAUUCGAUGAUCUGUCACAGUUCUUGCCCAAUACACCCCAUCAUUAUUGUUAAAAUGUUUUUAGCUUUGUUUGUAGAAUUGCUUUAACUGGUUUCAUCUCUGGGAGCUACACUUUGAAAUAUAACUUUAGCAACAUUUUACUAUACUUUUUCACAACCCAGAGCAGUACUAUUUUAUGCUUAGUGGUUAAACUAAUUCCAUAAAUCUUUUGCAACUAUCCUCUAUUCUUUUUCUUGUAAUUUUUACCUGGGAAGGUUUUUACUGAUAAUCAUCCUAUCCUGAGUCAUCCCACAAACCAAUCUGUCUCACUAAUCAUUGCUUCUAACCUACAGACUAAGCAUAACUUCUGCUAAAUGAUCUUUGAUAAGAUGCUAUGACUCUAUAAAGUCUUUGAUAUUCAUGUCUAAAUUUAAUCACUUGUAGAUUUUCAUAGAAUCAAUCUUUCACUUCUACAAUUGGGAGUAUUUAUAAGUUGUUUAUCUUAAACAGUUCCUCUAUCACGCUUUUCACGUUAAAUAAAGCAAUCCCUUCAAAUCAA
RNAcentral lists this long non-coding RNA (1348 nucleotides) under Homo sapiens (human). RNAcentral's name for it is "hepatic lncRNA metabolic regulator 1". The record is from RNAcentral. Lineage: Eukaryota; Metazoa; Chordata; Mammalia; Primates; Hominidae.